UACAGAGGGUGCGAGCGUUAAUCGGAAUUACUGGGCGUAAAGCGCACGCAGAUGGCUUUGUAAGUUGGAUGUGAAAUCCCCGGGCUUAACCUGGGAACUGCAUUCAAAACUGCAUCGCUCGAAUGUGGAAGAGGGAAGCGGAAUUCCGGGUGUAGCGGUGAAAUGCGUAGAUAUCCGGAGGAACAUCAGUGGCGAAAGCGGCUUCCUGGUCCAACAUUGACAUUCAGGUGCGAAAGCGUGGGGAGCAAACAGG
RNAcentral lists this ribosomal RNA (253 nucleotides) under uncultured bacterium. Its description in RNAcentral is "partial 16S ribosomal RNA". It matches the Rfam family "Bacterial small subunit ribosomal RNA", at positions 524 to 776 of the family's 1533-position model. The record is from RNAcentral.